AUUGAACGCUGGCGGCAGGCCUAACACAUGCAAGUCGAGCGGAUGAAGGGAGCUUGCUCCUGGAUUCAGCGGCGGACGGGUGAGUAAUGCCUAGGAAUCUGCCUGUUUGUGGGGUAUAACGUCCGGAAACGGGCGCUAAUACCGCAUACGUCCUGAGGGAGAAAGUGGGGGAUCUUCGGACCUCACGCUAUCAGAUGAGCCUAGGUCGGAUUAGCUAGUUGGUGGGGUAAAGGCCUACCAAGGCGACGAUCCGUAACUGGUCUGAGAGGAUGAUCAGUCACACUGGAACUGAGACACGGUCCAGACUCCUACGGGAGGCAGCAGUGGGGAAUAUUGGACAAUGGGCGAAAGCCUGAUCCAGCCAUGCCGCGUGUGUGAAGAAGGUCUUCGGAUUGUAAAGCCCUUUAAGUUGGGAGGAAGAGCAGUAAGUUAAUACCUUGCUGUUUUGACGGUACCAAAAGAAUAAGCACCGGCUAACUUCGUG
This 484-nucleotide ribosomal RNA is filed under the name uncultured bacterium. RNAcentral's name for it is "partial 16S ribosomal RNA". It matches the Rfam family "Bacterial small subunit ribosomal RNA", at positions 30 to 507 of the family's 1533-position model. The record is from RNAcentral.